Molecule: ribosomal RNA, 708 nt
Filed under: uncultured bacterium
Lineage: Bacteria
Description: bacterial SSU rRNA
Rfam family: Bacterial small subunit ribosomal RNA
Source: RNAcentral
UGAAAUGCGUAGAUAUAUGGAGGAACACCAGUGGCGAAGGCGGCUCUCUGGUCUGUAACUGACGCUGAGGCUCGAAAGCGUGGGGAGCGAACAGGAUUAGAUACCCUGGUAGUCCACGCCGUAAACGAUGAGUGCUAAGUGUUGGAGGGUUUCCGCCCUUCAGUGCUGCAGCAAACGCAUUAAGCACUCCGCCUGGGGAGUACGACCGCAAGGUUGAAACUCAAAGGAAUUGACGGGGGCCCGCACAAGCGGUGGAGCAUGUGGUUUAAUUCGAAGCAACGCGAAGAACCUUACCAGGUCUUGACAUCCUUUGACCACUCUAGAGAUAGAGCUUCCCCUUCGGGGGCGAAGUGACAGGUGGUGCAUGGUUGUCGUCAGCUCGUGUCGUGAGAUGUUGGGUUAAGUCCCGCAACGAGCGCAACCCUUAUUGUUAGUUGCCAUCAUUUAGUUGGGCACUCUAGCGAGACUGCCGGUGACAAACCGGAGGAAGGUGGGGAUGACGUCAAAUCAUCAUGCCCCUUAUGACCUGGGCUACACACGUGCUACAAUGGGAAGUACAACGAGUUGCGAAGUCGCGAGGCUAAGCUAAUCCCUUAAAGCUUCUCUCAGUUCGGAUUGUAGGCUGCAACUCGCCUACAUGAAGCCGGAAUCGCUAGUAAUCGCGGAUCAGCACGCCGCGGUGAAUACGUUCCCGGGCCUUGUACACAC